Molecule: ribosomal RNA, 569 nt
Filed under: Salmonella enterica
Lineage: Bacteria; Pseudomonadati; Pseudomonadota; Gammaproteobacteria; Enterobacterales; Enterobacteriaceae
Description: partial 23S ribosomal RNA
Rfam family: Bacterial large subunit ribosomal RNA
Source: RNAcentral
CAAUCAAACCGGGAGAUAGCUGGUUCUCCCCGAAAGCUAUUUAGGUAGCGCCUCGUGAAUUCAUCUCCGGGGGUAGAGCACUGUUUCGGCUAGGGGGCCAUCCCGGCUUACCAACCCGAUGCAAACUGCGAAUACCGGAGAAUGUUAUCACGGGAGACACACGGCGGGUGCUAACGUCCGUCGUGAAGAGGGAAACAACCCAGACCGCCAGCUAAGGUCCCAAAGUCAUGGUUAAGUGGGAAACGAUGUGGGAAGGCCCAGACAGCCAGGAUGUUGGCUUAGAAGCAGCCAUCAUUUAAAGAAAGCGUAAUAGCUCACUGGUCGAGUCGGCCUGCGCGGAAGAUGUAACGGGGCUAAACCAUGCACCGAAGCUGCGGCAGCGAACGUAUCACCCAAGACAACUUUACGGAGUUGACGAUUGACGGAGCGAAGCGACGUCAAAGCGUUCAUUAAAGUCGAGUUGGCUUAGGGAUACGUUCGUUGGGUAGGGGAGCGUUCUGUAAGCCUGUGAAGGUGUGUCGUGAGGCAUGCUGGAGGUAUCAGAAGUGCGAAUGCUGACAUAAGUAACG